CCUACGGGAUGCAGCAGUGAGGAAUAUUGGUCAAUGGACGCGAGUCUGAACCAGCCAAGUAGCGUGAAGGAUGACUGCCCUAUGGGUUGUAAACUUCUUUUAUAUGGGAAUAAAAUGUUCCACGUGUGGGAUUUUGUAUGUACCUUAUGAAUAAGAAUCGGCUAACUCCGUGCCAGCAGCCGCGGUAAUACGGAGGAUCCGAGCGUUAUCCGGAUUUAUUGGGUUUAAAGGGAGCGUAGGUGGAUUGUUAAGUCAGUUGUGAAAGUUUGCGGCUCAACCGUAAAAUUGCAGUUGAAACUGGCAGUCUUGAGUACAGUAGAGGUGGGCGGAAUUCGUGGUGUAGCGGUGAAAUGCUUAGAUAUCACGAAGAACUCCGAUUGCGAAGGCAGUUCACUGGACUGCAACUGACACUGAGGCUCGAAAGUGUGGGUAUCAAACAGGAUUAGAUACCCCAGUAGUC
Molecule: ribosomal RNA, 460 nt
Filed under: uncultured bacterium
Lineage: Bacteria
Description: partial 16S ribosomal RNA
Rfam family: Bacterial small subunit ribosomal RNA
Source: RNAcentral